UACGUAGGUCCCGAGCGUUGUCCGGAUUUAUUGGGCGUAAAGCGAGCGCAGGCGGUUUAUUAAGUCUGGUGUAAAAGGCAGUGGCUCAACCAUUGUAUGCAUUGGAAACUGGUAGACUUGAGUGCAGGAGAGGAGAGUGGAAUUCCAUGUGUAGCGGUGAAAUGCGUAGAUAUAUGGAGGAACACCGGUGGCGAAAGCGGCUCUCUGGCCUGUAACUGACGCUGAGGCUCGAAAGCGUGGGGAGCAAACAGG
Molecule: ribosomal RNA, 252 nt
Filed under: uncultured bacterium
Lineage: Bacteria
Description: partial 16S ribosomal RNA
Rfam family: Bacterial small subunit ribosomal RNA
Source: RNAcentral